This 120-nucleotide ribosomal RNA is filed under the name uncultured bacterium. RNAcentral's name for it is "partial 16S ribosomal RNA". It matches the Rfam family "Bacterial small subunit ribosomal RNA", at positions 28 to 156 of the family's 1533-position model. The record is from RNAcentral.
GACGAACGCUGGCGGCGUGCCUAACACAUGCAAGUCGAACGGGGCCCGCAAGGGUUCAGUGGCGAACGGGUGCGUAACACGUGAAGAAUUUGUCCAACGGCGGGGGGUAGCCGGCCCAAC